CUAAUUGUAUUUAAAGUUUAGACUUUUCAUUCUCCAUUGAAAAAAAGGAGAGAUUUUAGAGAUGACCUUCAGGAAGUCUUUUCUUCUAAGAAUAUUUUCAUCCAAAGAGAAGACCAUAAGCCAAACCGACGAAGAUUCAUUCGAUUCUUCCGUGGAAUUUGAGAGAACCCUGACUUUUUAAGCUACCCCACC
This is a long non-coding RNA of Magnolia sinica, 192 nucleotides long. RefSeq lists it as uncharacterized. The record is from RefSeq and is a predicted model, not a curated record. The transcript has 3 exons. NCBI's taxonomy places the organism in Eukaryota, Viridiplantae, Streptophyta, Magnoliopsida, Magnoliales, Magnoliaceae.